UACGUAGGGUGCGAGCGUUGUCCGGAAUUAUUGGGCGUAAAGGGCUCGUAGGCGGUUUGUCGCGUCGGGAGUGAAAACACUGGGCUUAACUCAGUGCUUGCUUCCGAUACGGGCAGACUAGAGGUAUUCAGGGGAGAACGGAAUUCCUGGUGUAGCGGUGAAAUGCGCAGAUAUCAGGAGGAACACCGGUGGCGAAGGCGGGUCUCUGGGCCGUAACUGACGCUGAGGAGCGAAAGCAUGGGGAGCGAACAGG
This 253-nucleotide ribosomal RNA is filed under the name uncultured bacterium. RNAcentral's name for it is "partial 16S ribosomal RNA". It matches the Rfam family "Bacterial small subunit ribosomal RNA", at positions 524 to 776 of the family's 1533-position model. The record is from RNAcentral.